Molecule: ribosomal RNA, 1345 nt
Filed under: uncultured bacterium
Lineage: Bacteria
Description: partial 16S ribosomal RNA
Rfam family: Bacterial small subunit ribosomal RNA
Source: RNAcentral
GACGAACGCUGGUGGCGUGCUUAACACAUGCAAGUCGAACGGAAAGGCCCUGCUUUUGUGGGGUGCUCGAGUGGCGAACGGGUGAGUAACACGUGAGUAACCUGCCCUUGACUUUGGGAUAACUUCAGGAAACUGGGGCUAAUACCGGAUAGGAGCUCCUGCUGCAUGGUGGGGGUUGGAAAGUUUCGGCGGUUGGGGAUGGACUCGCGGCUUAUCAGCUUGUUGGUGGGGUAGUGGCUUACCAAGGCUUUGACGGGUAGCCGGCCUGAGAGGGUGACCGGCCACAUUGGGACUGAGAUACGGCCCAGACUCCUACGGGAGGCAGCAGUGGGGAAUAUUGCACAAUGGGCGGAAGCCUGAUGCAGCAACGCCGCGUGCGGGAUGACGGCCUUCGGGUUGUAAACCGCUUUCGCCUGUGACGAAGCGUGAGUGACGGUAAUGGGUAAAGAAGCACCGGCUAACUACGUGCCAGCAGCCGCGGUGAUACGUAGGGUGCGAGCGUUGUCCGGAUUUAUUGGGCGUAAAGGGCUCGUAGGUGGUUGAUCGCGUCGGAAGUGUAAUCUUGGGGCUUAACCCUGAGCGUGCUUUCGAUACGGGUUGACUUGAGGAAGGUAGGGGAGAAUGGAAUUCCUGGUGGAGCGGUGGAAUGCGCAGAUAUCAGGAGGAACACCAGUGGCGAAGGCGGUUCUCUGGGCCUUUCCUGACGCUGAGGAGCGAAAGCGUGGGGAGCGAACAGGCUUAGAUACCCUGGUAGUCCACGCUGUAAACGGUGGGUACUAGGUGUGGGGUCCAUUCCACGGGUUCCGUGCCGUAGCUAACGCUUUAAGUACCCCGCCUGGGGAGUACGGCCGCAAGGCUAAAACUCAAAGGAAUUGACGGGGCCCCGCACAAGCGGCGGAGCAUGCGGAUUAAUUCGAUGCAACGCGUAGAACCUUACCUGGGUUUGACAUGGAUCGGGAGUGCUCAGAGAUGGGUGUGCCUCUUUUGGGGUCGGUUCACAGGUGGUGCAUGGCUGUCGUCAGCUCGUGUCGUGAGAUGUUGGGUUAAGUCCCGCAACGAGCGCAACCCUUGUUCACUGUUGCCAGCACGUUAUGGUGGGGACUCAGUGGAGACCGCCGGGGUCAACUCGGAGGAAGGUGGGGAUGACGUCAAGUCAUCAUGCCCCUUAUGUCCAGGGCUUCACGCAUGCUACAAUGGCUGGUACAGAGAGUGGCGAGCCUGUGAGGGUGAGCGAAUCUCGGAAAGUCGGUCUCAGUUCGGAUUGGGGUCUGCAACUCGACCUCAUGAAGUCGGAGUCGCUAGUAAUCGCAGAUCAGCAACGCUGCGGUGAAUACGUUCCCGGGGC